Molecule: ribosomal RNA, 797 nt
Filed under: uncultured bacterium
Lineage: Bacteria
Description: bacterial SSU rRNA
Rfam family: Bacterial small subunit ribosomal RNA
Source: RNAcentral
GGAGUUAUUAUUCAGAAGUUCUUCGGGAUGGAAGGAUAAGAACUUAGUGGCGGACGGGUGAGUAACGCGUGGGUAACCUGCCCUUUUGUGGGGAACAACUUCGAGAAAUCGGAGCUAAUACCGCAUAAUAAUAGAGGAUCGCAUGAUUCUUUAAGGAAAGAUGGCCUCUGAAGAUGCUAUCGCAAAAGGAUGGACCCGCGUCUGAUUAGCUAGUUGGAAGGGUAACGGCCUACCAAGGCAACGAUCAGUAGCCGGCCUGAGAGGGUGAACGGCCACAUUGGGACUGAGACACGGCCCAAACUCCUACGGGAGGCAGCAGUGGGGAAUCUUCCGCAAUGGGCGAAAGCCUGACGGAGCAAUGCCGCGUGAGUGAAGAAGGCCUUCGGGUUGUAAAACUCUGUCCUUAUCGAAGAGAGGUAGGUAUGUGAAUAAUGUACCUAUAGGACGGUAGAUAAGGAGGAAGCCCCGGCUAACUACGUGCCAGCAGCCGCGGUAAUACGUAGGGGGCGAGCGUUGUCCGGAAUCACUGGGCGUAAAGGGCGCGUAGGCGGUUUAAUAAGUCAGUGGUGAAAACUGAGGGCUCAACCCUCAGCCUGCCACUGAUACUGUUAGACUUGAGUAUGGAAGAGGAGAAUGGAAUUCCUAGUGUAGCGGUGAAAUGCGUAGAUAUUAGGAGGAACACCAGUGGCGAAGGCGAUUCUCUGGGCCAAGACUGACGCUGAGGCGCGAAAGCGUGGGGAGCAAACAGGAUUAGAUACCCUGGUAGUCCACGCCGUAAACGAUGGAUACUAGGUGUU